CUAACCACCGGGAUGUUCAUAACCCUUUGUUGUCCGACUCUGUUGCCUCCGGGGCGACCCUGCCUUCGGGCGGGGGCUCCGGGUGGACACUUCAAACUCUUGCGUAACUUUGCAGUCUGAGUAAACUUAAUUAAUAAAUUAAAACUUUUAACAACGGAUCUCUUGGUUCUGGCAUCGAUGAAGAACGCAGCGAAAUGCGAUAAGUAAUGUGAAUUGCAGAAUUCAGUGAAUCAUCGAAUCUUUGAACGCACAUUGCGCCCCCUGGUAUUCCGGGGGGCAUGCCUGUUCGAGCGUCAUUUCACCACUCAAGCCUCGCUUGGUAUUGGGCAACGCGGUCCGCCGCGUGCCUCAAAUCGACCGGCUGGGUCUUCUGUCCCCUAAGCGUUGUGGAAACUAUUCGCUAAAGGGUGUUCGGGAGGCUACGCCGUAAAACAACCCCAUUUCUAAGGUUGACCUCGGAUCAGGUAGGGAUACCCGCUGAACUUAAGCAU
RNAcentral lists this ribosomal RNA (491 nucleotides) under uncultured fungus. RNAcentral's name for it is "eukaryotic LSU rRNA". The stretch from base 143 to 296 matches the Rfam family "5.8S ribosomal RNA". The record is from RNAcentral. Lineage: Eukaryota; Fungi.